This 497-nucleotide ribosomal RNA is filed under the name uncultured bacterium. RNAcentral describes it as "partial 16S ribosomal RNA". It matches the Rfam family "Bacterial small subunit ribosomal RNA", at positions 28 to 507 of the family's 1533-position model. The record is from RNAcentral.
GACGAACGCUGGCGGCGUGCCUAAUACAUGCAAGUUGAGCGCUGAAGGUUGGUACUUGUACCAACUGGAUGAGCAGCGAACGGGUGAGUAACGCGUGGGGAAUCUGCCUUUGAGCGGGGGACAACAUUUGGAAACGAAUGCUGAUACCGCAUAAAAACUUUAAACACAAGUUUUAAGUUUGAAAGAUGCAAUUGCAUCACUCAAAGAUGAUCCCGCGUUGUAUUAGCUAGUUGGUGAGGUAAAGGCUCACCAAGGCGAUGAUACAUAGCCGACCUGAGAGGGUGAUCGGCCACAUUGGGACUGGGACACGGCCCAAACUCCUACGGGAGGCAGCAGUAGGGAAUCUUCGGCAAUGGACGAAAGUCUGACCGAGCAACGCCGCGUGAGUGAAGAAGGUUUUCGGAUCGUAAAACUCUGUUGGUAGAGAAGAACGUUGGUGAGAGUGGAAAGCUCAUCAAGUGACGGUAACUACCCAGAAAGGGACGGCUAACUACGUG